CGCGCAAGUGGGACAGUAAGCCAGAAGUGAAAUCCCGGAGCUCAACUCCGGAAUUGCUUUUGGAACUACUGACCUAGAGUACAGGAGGGGAGAGUAGAAUUCCAGGUGUAGCGGUGAAAUGCGUAGAUAUCUGGAAGAAUACCGGUAGCGAAGGCGACUCUCUGGACUGAUACUGACGCUAAAGCGCGAAGGCUAGGGUAGCAAACAGGAUUAGAUACCCUGGUAGUCC
RNAcentral lists this ribosomal RNA (229 nucleotides) under uncultured bacterium. RNAcentral's name for it is "partial 16S ribosomal RNA". It matches the Rfam family "Bacterial small subunit ribosomal RNA", at positions 568 to 796 of the family's 1533-position model. The record is from RNAcentral.